RNAcentral lists this ribosomal RNA (473 nucleotides) under uncultured bacterium. Its description in RNAcentral is "bacterial SSU rRNA". It matches the Rfam family "Bacterial small subunit ribosomal RNA", at positions 29 to 494 of the family's 1533-position model. The record is from RNAcentral.
AUUGAACGCUGGCGGCGUGCUUAACACAUGCAAGUCGAUCGGUAACAGGUGUAGCAAUACAUGCUGACGAGAGGCGGACGGGUGAGUAAUGCUUGGGAAUCUGCCUAUUAGUGGGGGACAACCCGGGGAAACUCGGGCUAAUACCGCAUACGCUCUACGGAGGAAAGCCGGGGACCGCAAGGCCUGGCGCUAAUAGAUGAGCCCAAGUCGGAUUAGCUAGUUGGUAGGGUAACGGCCUACCAAGGCGACAAUCCGUAGCUGGUCUGAGAGGACGACCAGCCACACCGGAACUGAGACACGGUCCGGACUCCUACGGGAGGCAGCAGUGGGGAAUAUUGGACAAUGGGGGCAACCCUGAUCCAGCGACGCCGCGUGGGUGAAGAAGGCCUGCGGGUUGUAAAGCCCUUUCGGUGGGGAAGAAAAGUCUCGACCUAAUACGUCGGGACCUUGACGUAACCCACUAAAGAAGCACC